CCUAGAUAUAUAAAAUUCAAAUGAAUUUUAUGGUUUAUAAUAUCUAAAACUAAGCUGAAUUUUGCUUUGUACUUUUAUUUGUCCCUGCAGAAGAUAGUGAAAUAAACAAACAGUUGCGUCUCACUUGAUAUAGUCCAUUCAGGUACAAAGUUCAGAUUAUUGACCCUCUAUUGUCCCUCUCAAUCAAUAGAGUUCACUUAAAGUAUUACUAUUAAUGGGGAAUUUCUGAAACCUCUUUCCACAGUUUUGUUCAUUUUGGCACCUUCUGGAGGAAUGAAAAUAAUG
RNAcentral lists this long non-coding RNA (285 nucleotides) under Mytilus galloprovincialis (Mediterranean mussel). Lineage: Eukaryota; Metazoa; Mollusca; Bivalvia; Mytilida; Mytilidae. The record is from RNAcentral.